AUGGGAACGCGAAGAACCUUACCUAGACUUGACAUCUUCUGCAUUAAUCGUAAUGGAUGAAAUCCCUUCGGGGACAGAAUGACAGGUGGUGCAUGGUUGUCGUCAGCUCGUGUCGUGAGAUGUUGGGUUAAGUCCCGCAACGAGCGCAACCCCUAUUAUUAGUUGUCUAACAUUAAGUUGAGCACUCUAGUGAGACUGCCCGGGUUAACCGGGUAGGAAGGCGGGGAGUGACGUCAAAUACAUCAUGCCCCUUACUGUCUAGGGCGAACACACGUGCUACAAUGGUGAGUACAGAUAGAUGCGAUACCGCAAGGUGGAGCCAAACUCUAAAACUACAUCCCAGUUCGGAUUGUAGGCUGCAACUCGCCUACAUGAAGUUGGAGUUGCUAGUAAUCGCGAAUCAGAAUGUCGCGGUGAAUACGUUCCCGGGUCUUGUACACACC
RNAcentral lists this ribosomal RNA (443 nucleotides) under uncultured bacterium. Its description in RNAcentral is "bacterial SSU rRNA". It matches the Rfam family "Bacterial small subunit ribosomal RNA", at positions 954 to 1391 of the family's 1533-position model. The record is from RNAcentral.